RNAcentral lists this ribosomal RNA (494 nucleotides) under uncultured bacterium. Its description in RNAcentral is "partial 16S ribosomal RNA". It matches the Rfam family "Bacterial small subunit ribosomal RNA", at positions 28 to 507 of the family's 1533-position model. The record is from RNAcentral.
GACGAACGCUGGCGGCGUGCUUAACACAUGCAAGUCGAACGGUGAAGCGCCUUCCUUUUUGGUGGGUGUGGAUGAGUGGCGAACGGGUGAGUAACACGUGAGUAACCUGCCCCCUUCUUCUGGAUAACCGCAUGAAAGUGUGGCUAAUACGGGAUAUUCUGGGUCUGUCGCAUGAUGGGUCUGGGAAAGAUAUUGUUUCGGUGGGGGAUGGGCUCGCGGCCUAUCAGCUUGUUGGUGGGGUGAUGGCCUACCAAGGCGGUGACGGGUAGCCGGCCUGAGAGGGUGGACGGUCACACUGGGACUGAGACACGGCCCAGACUCCUACGGGAGGCAGCAGUGGGGAAUAUUGCACAAUGGGCGAAAGCCUGAUGCAGCGACGCCGCGGGAGGGAUGGAGGCCUUCGGGUUGUGAACCUCUUUCGCCAGUGAAGCAGGCCUGCCUCGUUUGUGGGUGGGUUGACGGUAGCUGGAUAAGAAGCGCCGGCUAACUACGUG